AGGAAUUGAAAAAAUGGAGUGGAAGAAAAUUGGAAUGUUGGCUGUGGUGGGGAUGCUGGUGAUGGCAGCUUUGGUGGAGGAUUGUCAUGCAGCCAUUGAAUCAGAGUCUGUGAAAGGUUUGAAUAAAAAUGAAUUGCCAAGAAAGAUGAUGAAUGAAGAAACUAGAAUGUGCCCUAGAAUCCUUGAAGAGUGCACUACCGACGAUGAUUGCAUGAAUGAUUGCAUUUGCCUCUCCAAUGGCUUUUGCGGUUGAAACCUCUCUUAGAUAUAUACCUAAAUCUAUCUUAUCUUUUGCUGUCUGUGUGUGUGUUUUUUCUUUUCUUCUCUUCUAUUUCUAUGGCAAUAAAGUUUGUAACUUUGAUCACUCUAAUCUAUGAAUAAUGUGUAUCAUCAAUUUGUGCAACACCCAUCAAGGAAUAAUAACAUGUAAGCUUUUAAUAAAUUUCUCUGUUUAUAUGAUGCCUCUAAUUCCUUUCAAUGCUUUGAAGGUUACUAGCUAUAUCUAUAUUAUAUAUGGUUUAUACAUAUUACAUUGUUAAGUCAUGGGUUAAGUAUAAAACAUUUCCCUCUCCUCAUAUAUCUCUUCUCUCUCCCCCACUUCCUCCACUGUCAAGAAAAUCGCCAUCAAAGUAAGCUUGACGAAUGCGUUCGGGUUUGCUUUUUCACCAAAAACCACAUUGGCCAGUAGUAGUAGUUAAUGUAUAUAUUGAACAAAUAGAACUUCCCCCAAUUUACAAAAUGUAUAUAGGAGGGAAGGGAUAGUGAUUAUUCAAUGGUGUGAACAAGAAAGAGAUAAGAAAAGGUAUUCAUCACUCAUAUAUUGACAAUUUAAACUAUUUCUCAAUUGAUAAUUAUAAACUAGUUUAGAGAUAAAACUUCACAUGUUUAUGUACUAUAACAUCAAAGUCUAUCAAAUUCAUAAAAGAAAAAAACAAAAACAAAAGAAAGGAAAAAGAACUUUCACAUGGUGCAUGAGCUGCUUAAUUUUGAAAGAUUACAAAACCUCAUCAUCAUAUUUUAAUGUUAGAUAGAGCCAUUUGAAUCUCCUACACUGAAAAUAUAAUUUAACCAUUAUAUUUGAUUUAUUACUUAUCACUUUUUUAAAAAAUUAGAUGUUCACUUGUUCGAAAACAACAAAAUGUUUACCCCACACCAUUUAUUAGUGAGUUAUUAAAAGGAGAGGGUUGGUUGAAGCAACGUUUUCUCACUAUUAGGGUCUCCAUUUGAGAGAAUCACUGAUUUCUCACUUUGGUUGAAGUAUCAAACCAACUUGUUUUGAUUUUCAUACUUAAAAGAUUGAACAUACAAAAAAACGUGUUGUCUCUCUUAGUUGGGUAACUUUGUUUCAUUUAUUUAUAUAAACCAAUCCAACUAACUUCAUUAAAUUGGCUCUUUUUUUCAUUCAAUGCCCCUUAAUUAAAAUGGAAAUUCAUCUCCAUAUAUAUAAGUUUCUAAAUAUCACCAUCAAAUGAACCUUUCUUUUUAGCACUUGUACUACAAAAAUCGGUAAUGUUAAACGAACAUUUUGAUGAAAAUAUCGAUAAAACGUUGAUUUCAAUGAAUAUUUUUUUAAAGAAAAAGAUAAAACAAAAAAAAUCAUAAUUAGAUUUAAAUUAGUAAAUGAGGGUUUUAUAUGAUUUUCAAACCAAGUUAACUUAUGUUCGUUUGUUUUGUGUAUCAUGAAUGUUUCUAACAAUAUAACAAAAAUAUCGAUUCACCUUUAAUGUUGAUUCUGAAUCUAUGAAAAAUGAAAAUGUAAAAAAAUUUUGUCACGAACAUAGACAUGUCGAUGACAGUUUAAUACUAUACAGUUUUACUAUAUAACCAAUUAUAAUUCAAAAUAAGAGUUAUACUUAAAUAAUCAUUUAUUUAUUUAUGGAAGAAAUGUUGCCAUUUAUUUAUCUACAAUCUUCAUCUUCUCAUUAUAUCUCGAGUCAGUUGAAAGUCUCAUGAUAUCCACUAAAGUUUAUACUCACAAUCUUAAUACUAACUCGAGCAUUAGAAUAAUACAUACCAUCUAUGUGUGGCAUAGCAUGCAACUGCAUCAUUAAUGGAGGAGUUUGUUCGAGCUUGAAUUAAUGGCCAUGAUUAUCACCAUUGCACUGCCACACCCCAACAAUCUUUGGCUCAUCUUACUCCUUAAAUCAUCUCUUUCCUUUUCCUAUUUGGUUUUAUUUUUUUUACUGUUCGUCUGGUUCGGAACGAUUUAAUUUCCAUGUUUGUUUAAUUUUAUAGUUUUCAACUUGUCACCUGGAAAUAAGCUAUUUGCUACUCUUAAGCAUUCUUAUUUAAUUUCUACAUACAAGAUAUUUAUAUUUUCAUGUAAAACUGAAUAAUAAACAAAUGGGGGCCUAAAACUGAUCAUGUGCUGAUCAGGUAGAACAUUUCUAUAAACUAUGCCAAGUUAGGUAUUUGGGAACUUCAACCGCGGGUGGUCGAACUGAGUACUGAUCACUGGCUUUGGAAAGCCCCAAGCCAACCCCCUUUGGCUUUCCUAGGCUCAUGUUAGUCCUUAAAUGUUGCCAUUUUUGGUAUGUAUCAUACUCUCUUAGUAACUUUGUUGUUCUUAUAUUUGUGUUUUGUGAGUACAAGUACACAUUUCAGUCCAUGAUGAUCACCUAUAACACCAUCACUAUUGUUAGAAAAACUAGCUUUAAUUUUCAAGUUCAUUAAUUGGAAUUUGGAUAGGUGUGUAUAGUCUCUGAGGUUUCUAACUUAGAAUUAUUAUUUUAAUGCUUUGUACUUUUAAAAAAUAGGUUCAAGAGGCCUUUAUUAUGGCUUUAUAAAUUACUUAAAUCUUUUAAUUAUUUUAAAUAUUACUUGACAUUUUAAAUCUUUUAAAAAAUUAAGUAUAAAACAUUCCCCUCUCCUCAUCUAUCUCUUGAUCUCUCUCUCCCCUUCCUCCACUAAUCUUCCUUUCUCUCUUGGAAAACCGUCAAAGUAAGCCUAAUGAACGAUAUUACUAUAAUUGUGUUUUAUGAAUUGUUUGCCAAAGUAGGUUUAAAACUUAGUGGUAAUUGACUGACUUUUCAUCGAUCUCUUGUCCACAAUAUUGUUCAACUAAACAAUAUCGACAAUCAAUUAAUGACACUACAACAUCGACAUUACUAUAGAAGCUUCCCACACAAACCCUGUUGGAGGCGUUGACGAGCCCACUCUAAAUUUACUCUAAAUCUCACAAACUUUUAAGAGAAGAAAUUUGUUCUCUUAGAAAACUCAAUAACACACAAGAGAAGAAUGUUGUUCUCUUGAAACUCACUUACUUUCUAAAACUCAAUUUGCUUCUAUUGAUUUGAUUCUUUUUAUCUUGUAUACAAAUGAAGGAAAUGAUCUCUAUAUAUAGUAUUCAAGAGACACUUCCUAAAAGACACAAAAUAAAUGAAGUACAUGAAUACAUACCAUUCAUGUACUUGAAUAAUUACAUGUAUCUAGAAAUGCAUAUGUAUCUUGAAACUAGAAAUGUAUCUAUUAAUGUGUUAUCCAUAAUGUAUCUAGCUUAUUAAUUUCUAACAAACCCAUCUUUCCUACUUCAUUUUUUCUGUUCCUUUUUUUUUUUUAUCUCCGGAGGAUUAGGUAUUAUUCACUUUAACUUUUAUGAGUCUAAUAGGGUGGCUGAGCUUUAUCUUAGCUUCAAUCUAAAUAUGUUAUAGAUACCAUUAAACAUAGUUUGACUAAUUCUUCAAACUAAAAAAUAGAAUAAAGUUUUAAAAAACAAACCAAUUCUGAAUAAUUAGCAGCCCAAUAAGGAAUAUUAUAUAUAUAAAGCAGCCAUGACUUGAACAUUGAACAUAAUUAAUUAAUAUAUGAUCUUGAAGCAGUCACAAGGCCAUGCAAUUGUACAUGUGAUUAUGAAUAUAAACUUUAUUAAAAACACACCAAGUAUGUUGAAAGCAGACAUUGUGUUCUCUUAUGUGUGUAUAAAUAUAAAGGCAUAGCUAGAAGAAAAAGAAAAAAAAUAUAAGAGAGAUUAAGAAGAGAAAAAGAAAGAAAGAAAGGAAUUGAAAAAAUGGAGUGGAAGAAAAUUGGAAUGUUGGCUGUGGUGGGGAUGCUGGUGAUGGCAGCUUUGGUGGAGGAUUGUCAUGCAGCCAUUGAAUCAGAGUCUGUGAAAGGUUUGAAUAAAAAUGAAUUGCCAAGAAAGAUGAUGAAUGAAGAAACUAGAAUGUGCCCUAGAAUCCUUGAAGAGUGCACUACCGACGAUGAUUGCAUGAAUGAUUGCAUUUGCCUCUCCAAUGGCUUUUGCGGUUGAAACCUCUCUUAGAUAUAUACCUAAAUCUAUCUUAUCUUUUGCUGUCUGUGUGUGUGUUUUUUCUUUUCUUCUCUUCUAUUUCUAUGGCAAUAAAGUUUGUAACUUUGAUCACUCUAAUCUAUGAAUAAUGUGUAUCAUCAAUUUGUGCAACACCCAUCAAGGAAUAAUAACAUGUAAG
This 4424-nucleotide long non-coding RNA is filed under the name Cucumis sativus (cucumber). RNAcentral's name for it is "long non-coding RNA (CSAT_LNC001358)". Lineage: Eukaryota; Viridiplantae; Streptophyta; Magnoliopsida; Cucurbitales; Cucurbitaceae. The record is from RNAcentral.